UGGGGAAUAUUGGGCAAUGGGCGAAAGCCUGACCCAGCAACGCCGCGUGAGGGAAGAAGGCCUUCGGGUUGUAAACCUCUGUCCUUGGUGACGAAAAAAAUGACGGUAGCCAAGGAGGAAGCCCCGGCUAACUACGUGCCAGCAGCCGCGGUAAUACGUAGGGGGCGAGCGUUGUCCGGAAUUACUGGGCGUAAAGGGUGCGUAGGUGGCCUUUUAAGUUGGAUGUGAAAUCCCCGGGCUUAACUUGGGUGGUGCAUCUAAUACUGGAGGGCUAGAGUGCAGGAGAGUGAAGCGGAAUUCCUAGUGUAGCGGUGAAAUGCGUAGAUAUUAGGAGGAACACCAGUGGCGAAGGCGGCUUUCUGGACUGUAACUGACACUGAGGCACGAAAGCGUGGGGAGCAAACA
This 405-nucleotide ribosomal RNA is filed under the name uncultured prokaryote. Its description in RNAcentral is "bacterial SSU rRNA". It matches the Rfam family "Bacterial small subunit ribosomal RNA", at positions 355 to 774 of the family's 1533-position model. The record is from RNAcentral.